Gossypium hirsutum (cotton) is the source of this 143-nucleotide non-coding RNA. Lineage: Eukaryota; Viridiplantae; Streptophyta; Magnoliopsida; Malvales; Malvaceae. The record is from Rfam.
UGUUAAAGGUUUUAUCAUUUUUUAUCGUUAAAAAUUAGAGUAACCAUUAGAUAACUUGACAGUUGCACGUGGUAUGUCACUUGUACUUCAUGUUGUUGUACAGGGAUAAGUUUUAGCCGUAGAAAUAGAUGAAAUUUUUAACA